GGGGAAUAUUGGACAAUGGGCGAAAGCCUGAUCCAGCAAUACCGCGUGUGUGAAGAAGGCCUUAGGGUUGUAAAGCACUUUCAAUUGGGAGGAAAACCUACCGGUCAAUACCCGGUAGCUUGACAUUACCUUUAGAAGAAGCACCGGCUAACUCCGUGCCAGCAGCCGCGGUAAUACGGAGGGUGCGAGCGUUAAUCGGAAUUACUGGGCGUAAAGCGUGCGUAGGCGGUUCGUUAAGUCAGAUGUGAAAGCCCUGGGCUCAACCUGGGAACGGCAUUUGAAACUGGCGGACUAGAGUUUAGUAGAGGGGAGGCGGAAUUCCUGGUGGAGCGGUGAAAUGCGUAGAGAUCCGGAAGAACGUCGGUGGCGAAGGCGGCCUCCUGGACGAACACUGACGCUGAGGUGCGAGAGCGUGGGGAGCGAACG
Molecule: ribosomal RNA, 426 nt
Filed under: uncultured Methylobacter sp.
Lineage: Bacteria; Pseudomonadati; Pseudomonadota; Gammaproteobacteria; Methylococcales; Methylococcaceae
Description: bacterial SSU rRNA
Rfam family: Bacterial small subunit ribosomal RNA
Source: RNAcentral